This 253-nucleotide ribosomal RNA is filed under the name uncultured bacterium. RNAcentral's name for it is "partial 16S ribosomal RNA". It matches the Rfam family "Bacterial small subunit ribosomal RNA", at positions 524 to 776 of the family's 1533-position model. The record is from RNAcentral.
UACAGAGGUCCCAAGCGUUGUUCGGAUUCACUGGGCGUAAAGGGUGCGUAGGUGGCUGGGUAAGUCCGAUGUGAAAUCUCCGAGCUCAACUCGGAAACUGCAUCGGAAACUAUCCGGCUAGAGGAAUGGAGGGGAGACUGGAAUACUUGGUGUAGCAGUGAAAUGCGUAGAUAUCAAGUGGAACACCAGUGGCGAAGGCGAGUCUCUGGACAUUUCCUGACGCUGAGGCACGAAAGCUAGGGGAGCAAACAGG